This 502-nucleotide ribosomal RNA is filed under the name uncultured bacterium. RNAcentral describes it as "partial 16S ribosomal RNA". It matches the Rfam family "Bacterial small subunit ribosomal RNA", at positions 30 to 523 of the family's 1533-position model. The record is from RNAcentral.
AUUGAACGCUGGCGGCAUGCCUAACACAUGCAAGUCGAACGCGAAAGAGGGGCAACUCUCGAGUAGAGUGGCGGACGGGUGAGUAAUACGUAGGAAUCUGCCCUAGAGUGGGGGAUAACCUGUCGAAAGACGGGCUAAUACCGCAUAAUCUCUAUGGAGCAAAGGUGUCUUGUAGCAAUACAAGGUUUUGCUCUAGGAUGAGCCUACGUCGGAUUAGCUAGGUGGUAGGGUAAUGGCCUACCACGGCAACGAUCCGUAGCUGGUCUGAGGGGACAACCCGCCACACGGGAACGGAGACACGGUCCAGACUCCUACGGGAGGCAGCAGUGGGGAAUAUUGGACAAUGGGGGAAACCCUGAUCCAGCAAUGCCGCGUGUGCGAUGAAGGCCUGCGGGUUGUAAAGCACUUUCGGUGGGGAAGAAUACUCAAAGAUAAUACCUUUGAGUGCUGACGUUACCCAUAGAAGAAGCACCGGCAAACUCUGUGCCAGCCGCCGCCGUAA